Molecule: ribosomal RNA, 459 nt
Filed under: uncultured bacterium
Lineage: Bacteria
Description: partial 16S ribosomal RNA
Rfam family: Bacterial small subunit ribosomal RNA
Source: RNAcentral
CCUACGGGUGGCAGCAGUGAGGCAUAUUGGUCAAUGGCCGAGAGCCUGAACCAGCCAAGUCGCGUGAGGGAAGACGGUCCUACGGGUUGUAAACCUCUUUUGCCGGGGAGCAAAGAGAGUCACGUGUGACGCCUUGAGAGUACCCGAAGAAAAAGCAUCGGCUAACUCCGUGCCAGCAGCCGCGGUAAUACGGGGGAUGCGAGCGUUAUCCGGAUUUAUGGGGUUUAAGGGGUGCGCAGGCGGAGGGGCAAGUCAGCGGUAAAAUUGCGUGGCUCAACCCCGUACAGCCGUUGAAACUGGAUACCUUGAGUGAGCGAGAAGAAUGAGGAAUGCGUGGUGUAGCGGUGAAAUGCGUAGAUAUCAGGAGGAACACCAGUGGCGAAGGCGGCUUACUGGAGUGUAACUGACGCUGAGGCUCGAAAGCGUGGGUAGCAAACAGGAUUAGAUACCCGAGUAGUC